Molecule: ribosomal RNA, 393 nt
Filed under: uncultured bacterium
Lineage: Bacteria
Description: partial 16S ribosomal RNA
Rfam family: Bacterial small subunit ribosomal RNA
Source: RNAcentral
AUACGGAGGAUCCGAGCGUUAUCCGGAUUUAUUGGGUUUAAAGGGAGCGUAGGCGGACGCUUAAGUCAGUUGUGAAAGUUUGCGGCUCAACCGUAAAAUUGCAGUUGAUACUGGGUGUCUUGAGUACAGUAGAGGCAGGCCGAAUACGUGGUGGAGAGGGGUAAUGCUUAGAUAUCACGAAGAACUCCGAUUGCGAAGGCAGCCUGCUGGACUGUAACUGACGCUGAUGCUCGAAAGUGUGGGUAUCAAACAGGAUUAGAUACCCUGGUAGUCCACACAGUAAACGAUGAAUACUCGCUGUUUGCGAUAUACAGUAAGCGGCCAAGCGAAAGCGUUAAGUAUUCCACCUGGGGAGCACGCCGGCAACGGUGAAACUCAAAGGAAUUGACGGGG